GAAAGGAAACCUAUUUCUCAUGAAAAACCAAAGUUGCAUCCAAAAUUUUUCUAUACAUUCAACUUAAUAAAGAUCAAAUCUUUAUCUAGAUCAUAGCAGAAUAGAGAUCAAAUCUCCAAAAUCUAGAUUCAACAUUCACGUAGGCUUGGAACUACAGGCCUCUACUUCGCACGGACGUCAGGCAACGCAGGAAAGUAGGAUAAAUCUCAGAAUUGAUGCAUUUUCGUAAGGCCACCAAGGGAGG
This 244-nucleotide long non-coding RNA is filed under the name Elaeis guineensis (African oil palm). RNAcentral's name for it is "long non-coding RNA (EGUI_LNC058512)". Lineage: Eukaryota; Viridiplantae; Streptophyta; Magnoliopsida; Arecales; Arecaceae. The record is from RNAcentral.